RNAcentral lists this ribosomal RNA (385 nucleotides) under uncultured eukaryote. RNAcentral describes it as "partial 18S ribosomal RNA". It matches the Rfam family "Eukaryotic small subunit ribosomal RNA", at positions 592 to 975 of the family's 1831-position model. The record is from RNAcentral.
CAAUAGCGUAUAUUAAAGUUGUUGCAGUUAAAAAGCUCGUAGUUGGAUUUCUGGACGGAGCAGCCGGUCCGCCGCUGUGUGGUGUGUACUCGUGCUUGACUCGGUUCAUCCUUGUGGGGAAGCGCAUUUCGGCAUUCAGUUGUCGAGGCGGGGAACCACAUCAUUUACUGUGAAAAAAUUAGAGUGUUUAAAGCAGGCAUUUUGCUGUGAAUACAUUAGCAUGGAAUAAUAACAUAGGACUUUGAUUCUAUUUUGUUGGUUGGAGAUCAAGGUAAUGAUUAAUAGGGAUAGUUGGGGGUAUUCAUAUUUAAUUGUCAGAGGUGAAAUUCUUGGAUUUAUGAAAGAUGAACUCAUGCGAAAGCAUUUACCAAGGAUGUUUNCAUUA